Long non-coding RNA from Tarenaya hassleriana, 783 nucleotides. RefSeq lists it as uncharacterized. The record is from RefSeq and is a predicted model, not a curated record. NCBI's taxonomy places the organism in Eukaryota, Viridiplantae, Streptophyta, Magnoliopsida, Brassicales, Cleomaceae. The transcript has 3 exons.
AAAGGAGGUCUACCAACGAAGACGAUAGAAGUUAUCUUUACCAAUAUGAUUCAUGUUUCGGACUUAUUCCCGAAAGUUUUCUAACUACUGGACGACUCGGCGGCAAGUCUGAAGAAUAUUGGUUAACUGAACAAGAGUACAAUCACAUCGCCACAUAUAUAUUGUUGAACUGUGAAGAACUUAAGCCAUACAAAAGACUUUUUGACGAGGAUGGCUUGGCAACAUAUCAUAUUCUUAGUGGAGAGGAACUUGAAGGAAUGAAGGAACAACAUUAUGCAUCUUGGCUUCGAGACUAUAUUUUCCAACUCCAGUAUCCAGGAUUAGUCGGGUUGAAAACAAUCAUAUUCAGAUGUGAUUGGUUUGAUACAACGUCGGGACGCGGUUCACGGAAAAAUCGAUGGGGAGGUGUUGACAUAAAUUCGAAACGUUCAUAUGCAAAGUAUGAUCCUUUUAUACUUUCUGAUCAGGCAGACCAAGUAUGCUUCAUUCCAUAUCCGAAACAUUAUGCGACAUCGGUGAAACGACGACGAGAAGAUCAAUGGUCGGCUGUUUUGAAGAUUAACCCAUGAAGAUUAAUCGUGGAUUCGUCGACAAUACAAGAUCUCGAUGAACCAAUAUUGCAAGAGCAACUCGAAGAUCUGAUUCUUCAUAUCCAACUAGAUGAUUACGACGAUACACUUGCACUUCCUGACAUAGACGACGAGUUACUUGAUGAUUCGUCAAACGUACAAGACGAUAUCGACGAAUUCGUUUCGGACCAUGAUAUAACUCCGGAUGAUGAAA